GUUCAGAGUACGAAAAAAAUUGUUUGAAUCCAUAGUCUAUCCGAAUCUAUGAAAAUGGAAAAACCAACUAUUGUGCUUUCCUUCCCCAUGCUGCUAUUACAGCUGCAAUGUCAUUGAAAUAUCAUUCCAGUAGAUGCCGACGGUGGCAAGUCGAACCAACUCCAUGAUGCAACCAUGAAAAACACGGUCCUUCUCCUUGUAAAUUACGGUCUUGCUACAAACAUGAUCAAAUUUGUAUUCCAUAGGUGUGUUUCUUAAAGAAGUUUAUAAGUCAACUUGUACUUCUGUAUUCAAGUCAACUUGUGACCUAGCUUACAUUCAUAGUUGCAAAACUUAAUAGAGUUUUCGCCCUCGUUAGAAGAGUUGAUAUUUAUCGAAUCAAGAUUUACUUAACUUUUGUUAAUUGAUAUUCGGUAUUCUCUGAUUCAAUGUCUUUCAAUUCUAGAUUGGAGGCAAAGCAUGUUGGUGAAUGUUAAAUGCCUUAAUGAAGGAAGGAACUUGUAGUUAUAACAUGCAGG
Molecule: long non-coding RNA, 518 nt
Filed under: Olea europaea subsp. europaea
Lineage: Eukaryota; Viridiplantae; Streptophyta; Magnoliopsida; Lamiales; Oleaceae
Source: RNAcentral